UGUGUGACCGUGCUCGACUCGCCCGUGCUGGACUGGGCGAGCGGCGCCGCCGUAAGCAUCUUCUCCGGCAGUGGUUUCUUCUCCGCGGUGGUGGAGCGCAUUUCUCGGCAGCGGCAGAGCUAUUGCGAGAAUCGGGCUCCAUUGGAUCCGGGGGUUGUUUCUUCUCCGCGGCCCGGUGGUGGAGCGCCUAUCCCUGCAGCGGCUAUUGCGAGAGAUGGAGCGAGGGCUAGAUGAGAUGGAGCGAGGAGACGGGCUGCCCCGAGGAGACAGUGCUUCAAAUCG
Molecule: long non-coding RNA, 282 nt
Organism: Triticum aestivum (bread wheat)
Lineage: Eukaryota; Viridiplantae; Streptophyta; Magnoliopsida; Poales; Poaceae
Exons: 3
Source: RefSeq, a predicted model, not a curated record